This 334-nucleotide unclassified non-coding RNA is filed under the name soil metagenome. Its description in RNAcentral is "partial contains 5.8S ribosomal RNA, internal transcribed spacer 2, and large subunit ribosomal RNA". The stretch from base 1 to 120 matches the Rfam family "5.8S ribosomal RNA", at positions 35 to 154 of the family's 154-position model. The record is from RNAcentral.
GAUGAAGAACGCAGCAAAAUGCGAUAAGUAAUGUGAAUUGCAGAAUUCAGUGAAUCAUCGAAUCUUUGAACGCACAUUGCGCCCGCUAGUAUUCUGGCGGGCAUGCCUGUUCGAGCGUCAUUUCAACCAUCAAGCCCUGCUUGUGUUGGGGUCCUGCGGCUGCCCGCAGGCCCUGAAAACCAGUGGCGGGCUCGCUAGUCACACCGAGCGCAGUAGCACAUCUCGCUCAGGGCGUGCGGCGGGUUCUUGCCGUAAAACACCCCCUUUUUACCAAGGUUGACCUCGGAUCAGGUAGGAAUACCCGCUGAACUUAAGCAUAUCAAUAAGCGGAGGA